AUGGCCGCCCCCGGGGGGUUGAUGGGGAUGGGCGCUCGGGGGUGAUCGUCUGCUACCAAACCGCACCACCGUCCCCCUGUCCCUCAUCCACUUCUCGACGGCCGGCU
Molecule: non-coding RNA, 107 nt
Filed under: Suid alphaherpesvirus 1
Lineage: Duplodnaviria; Heunggongvirae; Peploviricota; Herviviricetes; Herpesvirales; Orthoherpesviridae
Source: RNAcentral